UGUUGUUGAUAUUUGGAUACACUGGCCAUGAAGGUCAAAUAAACAGGAAGGAAGAUAAUCUUUAUGCUCUGUUGGCAAGGACUGGCUGUGGCUUUCUCCCAGCUUGCUUCCCUAAGAUGAAGGAGCCAAAAUUUUUUCAGAGGUAUAUGGUAGUUGUCCUUUGCCCUGCUGCUGGACACCCCUAGUGUCAUAUGGUUUAUUCUUAGGAACAUCAACUCUGCCUUCAUGAAAUAAGCCUGGUGCCUGGGGCCACAGCCACCUCUGGAGACAACACUGAAGAUUUCCACACAUGUGAUCCAUCUUCUUCUUGGCUGCAUAGCCCUCAGUGCUGGAAUUGGAGACAUGGUCAAGCAGCCCUUGCCGAGCCUGCAGAGAGCUGCUGGCCUGAAGGUGAGCAGGAGUAUUUCCAUGGAGAUGUUUUCCACAGGAGCAGGAGGGCCCCCAGAGUGCCUGCUCCCAGCAGGGCUCCCAGCAGGAC
Molecule: long non-coding RNA, 478 nt
Organism: Passer domesticus (house sparrow)
Lineage: Eukaryota; Metazoa; Chordata; Aves; Passeriformes; Passeridae
Exons: 5
Source: RefSeq, a predicted model, not a curated record